Molecule: long non-coding RNA, 1022 nt
Filed under: Olea europaea subsp. europaea
Lineage: Eukaryota; Viridiplantae; Streptophyta; Magnoliopsida; Lamiales; Oleaceae
Source: RNAcentral
GAAGAAUAAAAUCGGCUUUAUUGAUGGGUCAAUAGCCAAACCUGACAACAGUGAUGAUCAGGUCAGCAAUUGGAUUCAAAACAACAAUAUAGUCAUUUCGUGGAUACUAAAUUCAGUUUCGAAAGAAAUUUCUGCAAGUGUGAUUUAUUCUGAAUCUGCCCAUGAUAUAUGGAUCGAUUUGAAGGAAAGGUUUCAACAAAGGAAUGGGCCUCGUAUAUUCCCAUUAAGGCGUGAGCUGAUGAACCUCACUCAGGGGCAAUUAUCUGUGGGUGUGUCUUUCACUAAAUUGAAAACAAUUUGGGAAUAAUUAAGCAACUAUAGACCAAUAUGCUCUUGUGGAAAAUGUUCUUGCGGUGGAAAUAAGAAGCUCUCAGAACAUUACCAGAUGGAGUAUGUCAUGAGUUUCUUGAUGGGGUUGAAUGAUACAUUUGCACAAGUUAGGGGUCAACUACUACUUAUGGACCCAAUGCCUUCCAUCAACAAGGUAUUUUCCCUUGUAUCUCAAGAAGAACACCAGCGCAAUAUAAGCAUUAAUGCUGGUAUCUCCAACACUGGAGACUCAAUGGCGUUCUAUGCCAAAAUCGAUCCAAAGAAAGGCGGCUUAGGACAGCACAAAUUUCAGAAGAAAGAAAAACCAAUUUGCACUUAUUGCAAACUUGCAGGGCACUCGGUGGAUAAAUGCUAUAAACUGCAUGGGUAUCCUCCUGGGUAUAAGGUGAAGCAGAGAUCCAACUUUACUGAUCAAGUGGACAAUCAGCCACGACAUAUUGCUGCUAAUCAAGUGGUAUUUGCGAACAAGUCAGAACAAGCACACACAAAUGCAGAAGAUUUCAUGCAUUCCUUGAACCAUACCCAAUAUCAACAAUUGAUGAAUAUGCUGGGCAACCAUCUGACUUCUGCAAAAACCAACACUGAAAAUGAUGAACAUACUAAUCAAGUCUAAGGUACUUGUUUUUCUAUUGCACUUAACCCAUGUCUAAAUUCUCCUAAGCACUGGGUUAUGGAUUCUGGGGCAACUAGCC